GUGGGGAAUAUUGGACAAUGGGCGCAAGCCUGAUCCAGCCAUGCCGCGUGAGUGAUGAAGGCCCUAGGGUUGUAAAGCUCUUUCACCGGUGAAGAUAAUGACGGUAACCGGAGAAGAAGCCCCGGCUAACUUCGUGCCAGCAGCCGCGGUAAUACGAAGGGGGCUAGCGUUGUUCGGAAUUACUGGGCGUAAAGCGCACGUAGGCGGACAUUUAAGUCAGGGGUGAAAUCCCGGGGCUCAACCCCGGAACUGCCUUUGAUACUGGGUGUCUGGGGUAUGGAAGAGGUAAGUGGAAUUCCGAGUGUAGAGGUGAAAUUCGUAGAUAUUCGGAGGAACACCAGUGGCGAAGGCGGCUUACUGGUCCAUUACUGACGCUGAGGUGCGAAAGCGUGGGGAGCAAACAGGAUUAGAAACCCGGGUAGUCC
This 425-nucleotide ribosomal RNA is filed under the name uncultured bacterium. RNAcentral describes it as "partial 16S ribosomal RNA". It matches the Rfam family "Bacterial small subunit ribosomal RNA", at positions 354 to 796 of the family's 1533-position model. The record is from RNAcentral.